Molecule: ribosomal RNA, 449 nt
Filed under: uncultured bacterium
Lineage: Bacteria
Description: partial 16S ribosomal RNA
Rfam family: Bacterial small subunit ribosomal RNA
Source: RNAcentral
AACGAACGCUGGCGGCAGGCUUAACACAUGCAAGUCGAGCGGGGACUUCGGUCCUAGCGGCGGACGGGUGAGUAACGCGUGGGAACGUGCCUUUUGCUUCGGAAUAGCCCUGGGAAACUGGGAGUAAUGCCGGAUGAUCCCUUUGGGGGAAAGAUUUAUCGGCAAGAGAUCGGCCCGCGUUGGAUUAGGUAGUUGGUGGGGUAAUGGCCUACCAAGCCGACGAUCCAUAGCUGGUUUGAGAGGAUGAUCAGCCACACUGGGACUGAGACACGGCCCAGACUCCUACGGGAGGCAGCAGUGGGGAAUCUUAGACAAUGGGCGCAAGCCUGAUCUAGCCAUGCCGCGUGAGUGAUGAAGGCCUUAGGGUUGUAAAGCUCUUCCAGUGGGGAAGAUAAUGACGGUACCCACAGAAGAAGCCCCGGCUAACUCCGUGCCAGCCGCCGCAGUAA